Long non-coding RNA from Heterocephalus glaber (naked mole-rat), 1006 nucleotides. The record is from Ensembl. NCBI's taxonomy places the organism in Eukaryota, Metazoa, Chordata, Mammalia, Rodentia, Bathyergidae.
CUGUGGUUCAUUCCUCCUGCGCAUCCCCAGCAGGGUGGGUGGGAGCCAGCAGCUUUGCUGACACUUCAAGUUUCCAUGCCGAAACCACAGCAUUAGUAUAAGCGCUCCGCAACUUCAGAGGAGGCAAACUUCAGAAUGGCCGCCAGCCUCCAUCUGCAGCUCCUAAUUGAGCCUUGCCCGCAGAGAUCAACACCAGCAGCUGCCUCUUCUUGGUUACUUCCCGGAGAUUCCAAGCUCAGCCUACAACUGUAGGGCAACACGUAUGCUUUCCAGGGAGGUGAGCUGCUAUACGAUGGUCGUCCCAUUGUCAAGCCACGUUCAGCCAUGGACUAUGAGCAAGAGGCCCGGGAAGCCUUGAGUGAAGAGGAGGCAGAAAACUUGGAUCACUGAGACUCUUUCCGUGAUGGUGUGACCUAAAUCUUCAUUUACAAGGGACCAUGACCCUCAGACACCGAGCCCUCAUUGGGUUGAGGAAACAGCAGACUGGGGAAGUGGCUCAACACUACAGCAUUUGCCUAGCACUGUGCACAAGGCCUUGGGUUCAAUCCUCAAUACUGCAAAAACAAAAAAACCCACCAGGACCUGUGGAACACUAGGAAAGCAGUAUUUCGUGAGAAAUGUACAGCUAUAGCAGUGUUUACAUUAGAAGAGUAGAAAGCUUCAAAGACCUCAGCCUUUCCCUUAAGGAAGUUACAAAAUGCUGGGUGUGGUGGUGUAAGCCUAUAAUCCAUGGGAUAAGAGUGUCCCAGCGAAACCUCUCCUUGCGCUUCGUGGGGAGAAACAGAACAGGGUUGGAGGGACAUAGAUUCUGAGGCGGCCCCAGACCUCUCUGCAGGUGAAAGUGCCAGUUUUGCAGGGAGCAUUUUCUGAGCUCCAACAUAGCCAAAUCCAGAGUAACCAAGAAAAGGGAGAAUAAAGAGAAAAGGGUAAGUUAAAGAAACAGGAAACAGGAAAACAAGUGCAGAGCUGGUUCUUCCCGAAGAUCAAUGAAGCUGUUAAACCUCUA